Molecule: long non-coding RNA, 242 nt
Filed under: Monodelphis domestica (gray short-tailed opossum)
Lineage: Eukaryota; Metazoa; Chordata; Mammalia; Didelphimorphia; Didelphidae
Description: lncRNA (ENSMODG00000050745.1)
Source: RNAcentral
GUGUAACACCUAGAGAAGUCUUGGAAGUUCCCUCUGUCAAAGAAAUCACAGGAAGGUGAAGCUCCCCAAGGUAAAGCUCUGUGAAGAAUGGAUUGGAGAAAGAGACUAAAGACAGGGAGACUAAUCAAGAAGCUAUUAAAACAGUUCAGUUAUUUUUAAAAAGUCAACACAAGGACUUCCAGUCAAGAUGGUGGCUUAGAGAAAGAUAAAGUUCAGAUCUCCGGAAACCCUUCCCUACAGAA